RNAcentral lists this long non-coding RNA (2666 nucleotides) under Sus scrofa (pig). RNAcentral describes it as "lncRNA (ENSSSCG00005041231.1)". Lineage: Eukaryota; Metazoa; Chordata; Mammalia; Artiodactyla; Suidae. The record is from RNAcentral.
UUUUUUUUUUUUUUUUUGCUUUUUAGGGCCAUACCCAAGGCAUAUGGAGGUUCCCAGGCUAGGAGUCGAAUUGGAGCUGUAGCUGCUGGGCUACACCACAGCCACAGCAACACAGGAUCCGAGCCACAUCUGCAACCUACACCACAGCUCAUGGCAAUGUGGGAUCCUUAACCCACUGAGCAAGGCCAGCGAUCGAACCUGCAUCCUCAUGGAUGCUAGUCAGAUUUGUUAACUGCUGAGCCAGGACAGGAACGCUGGCCAUGAACUUUCAAUUUAGAUUCAUACAAGUCUUCUCUCAGCCUUGAUUGUCUCUGGUAAGGCCUCAAUGACAUCAUUGCCAAUUCUGGCACUUGGAAUACCCGAGAUCAUUAUCUUAGGCAACAAUUACACAGCUGCACCGCACUCACGGUUCUAAAAUGCUUCCAUUUAAAAAUAUUUCAAAUGCCAAAAAUUUAAGCAAUCACCGUGUGCCUUAAAUAUCUUGCAUCCAACUUAUUACAGAGCUGAAUCAAGAUGGGAAGGAAGAAGCAUCUAUUACAUGACGUGGAUGCUUGGCUAAAAUGCAAAUAACAAACCUACCCUUCUUACCAUGUGUUUUGCCCUUGAAUCCAGGAAGUAGAAGGGCUUGGAGCCACAGAAACUAUGUAACUUAAUCAAUAUUUAAUAAAUAAAUAGCAUAAUACCUGGACUUCUUUAGGUACUAGGCGAUAUAGUAGUGGACUAAACACACAAAGAUCCAUAUCCUCCAUGAGCUUGUAUUUGAGUGGGUGGAGACACACAAUAACCAAAGUAAACAAAAUGGAAAUUAGUAAACAAUGUAAAUAAAUAAAUCAGUAUGAUAAUGUUAUGUGAUGGCACAGUGUCUGGAGUCAAACAGCUUGGGGUCAAGGCUCCACCACUUACAAGCUAUAUGACUUAUUUAACAUUUAUGUGCCUCAGUUUCCUCAUCUGUAAAAUGGGGUUAAUAAAAUCUUUGUAGGUUUAUCAGGAACCAAUGCCCAGCAUUCUGAAAACUGCCAAGGGACCAUGUGGCUGAUGAGGAGACUGCGAGAGAGAGGGGUCAUGGAUUGGUACUCUUUACAAGGAAAGCCUAAGACAGGAACUCAGGUAUCCAUGAUUUAUUUGAGGAUGUGCUCUCAGGAAAAAGGGAGAGAGGACAGUGGAAGAGAGCAGAUGGAGCCUCAGCAGGUGCAGCCUGGCCCAUGGGAAGCUCUGGAGCAUGAAUUGCACUGCAGAGGCAUCCCCUCCUUGAGACCAGUGGGCUGGCCUUUUGUACCCUCAAAUCAGUGAGUCAUUGGCAGCAGACUGCCAGGGAGAUAGUUUCUCCAUCCCCUUGCACUGCUCUUAUAAAAAACACAGAUCGGGUAGCUUAUAAACAACAGAAAUUUAUUUGUCACAGUUGUGGAGGCUGGAAGUCUGGGAUCAAAAUACUGGCAUGAAAGGGGAGGGCCUGUUCUGGGCUGUAGAUUUCUCCUUGCAGUGUUGGCAUCUGGUGGAAGGCUUUGGGGAUUUCUGUGGGGUCUCUUUUAUAAGGGUACUAAUCCCAUCCACGUGGGCACCACCCUCAUGGCCUAAUCAUCUCCCAAAGGACCCACCGUUGCAUCAUGGGUAGGAUCUCAACAUAUGAAGUUUGGGGAGAUGCAAAUGUUCAGACCAGAGCACUGGGCCAAAAUCAAGGUGACAGCAGGGCUGCAUUCCUCUCCGGAGGCUCCAGGCAAAGGCUGAGAAGAGGAGCUGCAGGAAGCUCUUUCUGCCUUAUCUCCACAUCCUCCGUAGUUCAGGUCUGGCUCCAAACCAGCAUGUCCCACCUAUGAACCAACGGCCUUGCAGGAGUUCCCUGGUGGCUCAGCAGGUUAAGGAUCUGGUGUUGUCACUGCUGUGGCUCAGGUUGUUGAUGUGACAUGGGUUUGGUCCCUGGCCCUGGAACUUUCUCAUGCCACCCAUGGCCAAAAAAAAAAGCGAAAUCCUUGCAGGGAGACAUGAUGGGACAGUGACAGCCCCAUAUCCUCAGAGGCAACCACAGGAAAAAUUCGAGCAGUACUUUGUGUGUGUUUUUAGGGCCACACCUGUGGAAGUUCCCAGGCUAGGGGUCAGAUUGGAGUUGCAGGUGCUGACUUACACCACAGCCACAGCAAUGCCAGAUCCAAGCUGUGCCUGUGACCUACACCAUGACUCACGGCCAUGCCAGAUCCUUAACCCACUGAGCAAGGUCAGGGAUCGAAUCCACAUCUUCAUGGAUACUAGUCAGAUUCGUUUCUGCUGCACCACAAUGGGAACUCCUGCACACGCAUGUGGUAUUUAAGAGGCAGAAAUGCAGCACCAGCCAUUUGAAGGUUGGUAGAGGCAGUUGGAGCUGUCACCGAGGUACCAGUGGGUUCUCAUUUGCUCCCGGUUUUCCCCACUGUAAGUCCAGCUCUUCUUCAUAAAUGCUGUUUUACUGACCAGCAGUGACCCAGACCCAUCAGGAAAUGUCUUUCUGGGAGCUCACAGAGGUAGGAGCCACGGUAAGCCUACAGCCUUCCAGAGACCUCUCUCUGCCAGCCUCUCCCGCCACCGCUUUUACCUCCAUCCAGCUGGUCCACCUGCACCACGUAUUUUUCGGACCUUUUCUUCCUCAGCUCCUUCCCAAAGUGUGUAAGGUUUGACUCCGUAAUAAAUUACCUAUC